This 403-nucleotide ribosomal RNA is filed under the name uncultured bacterium. RNAcentral describes it as "partial 16S ribosomal RNA". It matches the Rfam family "Bacterial small subunit ribosomal RNA", at positions 28 to 526 of the family's 1533-position model. The record is from RNAcentral.
GACGAACGCUGGCGGCGUGCCUAAUACAUGCAAGUCGAACGCAGUGGGGACGGGGUAGUAAAACGUGCGUAACCUCCCAUCAGAGGGGAUAACACUUGGAAACAGGCGCUUAACCGAUACUGAUGGAUGAACCCGGGGGGCAUUAGCUAGUUGGUGAGGUAACGGCUCACCAAGGCCACGAUGCCUAGCCGGCGUGAGAGGGUGAUCGGCCACACUGGGACUGAGACACGGCCCAGACUCCUACGGGAGGCAGCAGUGGGGAAUCUUCGGCAAUGGGCGAAAGCCUGAUCGAGCAACGCCGCGUGAGUGAAGAAGGUUUUCGGGUCGUAAAGCACUGUUGUUAGAGAAGCGGUAUCUAACCAGAAAGCACCGGCUAACUACGUGCCAGCAGCCGCGGUAAUAC